Long non-coding RNA from Callorhinus ursinus (northern fur seal), 525 nucleotides. RefSeq lists it as uncharacterized. The record is from RefSeq and is a predicted model, not a curated record. NCBI's taxonomy places the organism in Eukaryota, Metazoa, Chordata, Mammalia, Carnivora, Otariidae.
UCCAUGUGUAUGCACCUCCCCUGCGUGUGUUCUUCCACUGGUUCUGUUUCUCUGGAGAACACAGACUUAUACAGCAUAACACCAUUUAGCCCUCAACAGGGAGGCUCGUGGACAGAUUUGCAGUGGCUCUACCCUCCCGCACACAAGCAGGUUCCCACAAGGAUGCACGCCCUGCCGCUGGGUGUCAGGGCCUCUGGGAGAAUGGAGGCAAUGUGUUUGCAACACCUGGCCCUCUGGAAGCGAUAGCAGAAUUCUGUGGGCCAUGUGGAAAGCAGCCUUCCCCGGGUUCUUCCCGUGGAUGCAAUUCUCCCGCUGAUUGUGAAACCACCUGCCUGGGGACUCCAACCCCUUCGGAGGAGAAAGGGCAGCCUGAACACCGUGACCUGGGAGCCAGACGGGAGAGAGGGAGGCUGCCCUCUGACCGGAGCGGAGGCCACCCCUGCGAGGAGUCCUCUCUCAGUUUUUAUUAUUCUUCUACUUCAAGGCAAGCUGUGUUGUAGGGAAAAAAUGAAAAAAAAAAAAAAA